This 468-nucleotide ribosomal RNA is filed under the name uncultured bacterium. Its description in RNAcentral is "partial 16S ribosomal RNA". It matches the Rfam family "Bacterial small subunit ribosomal RNA", at positions 28 to 507 of the family's 1533-position model. The record is from RNAcentral.
GACGAACGCUGGCGGCGUGCUUAACACAUGCAAGUCGAACGGAAAGGCCCUGCUUUUGUGGGGUGCUCGAGUGGCGAACGGGUGAGUAACACGUGAGUAACCUGCCCUUGACUUUGGGGUAACUUCAGGAAACUGGGGCUAAUACCGUAUAGGAGCUCCUGCUGCAUGGUGGGGGUUGGAAAGUUUCGGCGGUUGGGGAUGGACUCGCGGCUUAUCAGCUUGUUGGUGGGGUAGUGGCUUACCAAGGCUUUGACGGGUAGCCGGCCUGAGAGGGUGACCGGCCACAUUGGGACUGAGAUACGGCCCAGACUCCUACGGGAGGCAGCAGUGGGGAAUAUUGCACAAUGGGCGGAAGCCUGAUGCAGCAACGCCGCGUGCGGGAUGACGGCCUUCGGGUUGUAAACCGCUUUCGCCUGUGACGAAGCGUGAGUGACGGUAAUGGGUAAAGAAGCACCGGCUAACUACGUG